CUCUACCUCGUUGAGGACCUGAUGCAUCUUCUCAAGCUCUUCAUCAUAUAUUUACCUGCUGUUAUUGGAAGACCAUCACCUUGAGCAGACAGUGCCCUUUAAAUUCCAGGUGUAAUGAGCAGAGCACCUGAUGGCUAAUGAUAAUCCAGAUGGCUUGGAAUUGUAACUCCAUAUGCUGCACCAUUUAAUGCGGAAACAGUGCUGAAGUUAACUCUGUGUGGGUUGAUGAAACAAACUUCCUUGUUUAUUUUGGAAGUUUAUGUUGGCAAACAAACUGAAAGAGAAACCCAUGGAUAUGGUGACAGUAGGUUAAUGGGAAGGCAUGCAUGCUGGUAUUUUCUCUAAAUCAUGGGCAGAGAAGGGUUUGCUUUCCCAGAUACUUGCCCUUCUGUGUUGUCUGAUGGCACUUUCUCAGGAGCUGGGUGUACUGCUUUGUGUUGUGACUGCUUGAAGCCUGAAUCCUGGAUUUGGCUCUGUGUAAGGGAUACAGUCAGGUGUUCCAGCAGUGGUGCUCCUUGACUCUCAGAAAUAAUAACUUUAUAAUGCUCCUUCCUAUGAGAAGAGGUGGCUGUUGUGCUUCUGCUCUACUGGGAUCAGUCCUAGAUCACGAGAUGGCUUUUAGGAUGUGAUACCUUGCUGUCAGUCUUGCAGGUGUCUCUUCUGAGCUAUUUCACUCAGUUGGGCCCAGUAAUCUGGCCAUGCUGACAUGCAGAAUUAUUUCUGGAGCUGUGUGUUCUCCUUGGAAAUAGUCACAGCUGGAGCCAGACUAGCAUGAAUGUUUUCUCCUUAGGGAAAAAUGAAUCUGUAAGUUCUAAGGAUUCCUUAUAGAAUCCUUACAGAGAGGUGGCAUCAUUCCCCUCAUGUUAUGAGAGGGGAAACUGGAGCAGGUUGCCUCUAAUUCAGCAAAGCACUGAAACACCAUGGGAUGUAAGCACAUGC
Lagopus muta (rock ptarmigan) is the source of this 939-nucleotide long non-coding RNA. RefSeq lists it as uncharacterized. Lineage: Eukaryota; Metazoa; Chordata; Aves; Galliformes; Phasianidae. The transcript is spliced from 3 exons. The record is from RefSeq and is a predicted model, not a curated record.